GACGAACGCUGGCGGCGUGCUUAACACAUGCGAGUCGAACGGAAAGGCCCUGCUUUUGUGGGGUGCUCGAGUGGCGAACGGGUGAGUAACACGUGAGUAACCUGCCCUUGACUUUGGGAUAACUUCAGGAAACUGGGGCUAAUACCGGAUAGGAGCUCCUGCUGCAUGGUGGGGGUUGGAAAGUUUCGGCGGUUGGGGAUGGACUCGCGGCUUAUCAGCUUGUUGGUGGGGUAGUGGCUUACCAAGGCUUUGACGGGUAGCCGGCCUGAGAGGGUGACCGGCCACAUUGGGACUGAGAUACGGCCCAGACUGCUACGGGAGGCAGCAGUGGGGAAUAUUGCACAAUGGGCGGAGGCCUGAUGCAGCAACGCCGCGUGCGGGAUGACGGCCUUCGGGUUGUAAAACGCUUUCGCCUGUGACGAAGCGUGAGUGACGGUAAUGGGUAAAGAAGCACCGGCUAACUACGUG
This 468-nucleotide ribosomal RNA is filed under the name uncultured bacterium. Its description in RNAcentral is "partial 16S ribosomal RNA". It matches the Rfam family "Bacterial small subunit ribosomal RNA", at positions 28 to 507 of the family's 1533-position model. The record is from RNAcentral.